RNAcentral lists this microRNA (24 nucleotides) under Ananas comosus (pineapple). RNAcentral describes it as "microRNA s1547_c089b". Lineage: Eukaryota; Viridiplantae; Streptophyta; Magnoliopsida; Poales; Bromeliaceae. The record is from RNAcentral.
GUUACAGAAAGUUUGGAGUCCCAU